CCAUAUCCUGUUUACUUCCUGGUUUUGCUUGUUACUCAAGGAGUGCUUCCUGUUUGUGUUCUAUUGUGGCUCUUGGUUUGAUGAUGACCACCUGAAUCUGAGUGUUAAAGCUCAGGAGGAGCGCAGCAGCAGCAGGAGGAGGAUGAUGAUGAUGAAGGAUGGGACGGAGGUCCGAGCCGAAUCAGACGAUCCGCAGUCGACUCCGCCGUCGCACUGAACCUUCUCGCACAGCAGGCCCGAGAAUCCAGGAGCGCACUGACACCUCACGUUGUUCACGCACACGCCGCCGUUCUGGCAUCGGAGCAGCUCGUCGUCACACACCCGCGCUGAGAGAUGAGACACGGGGAGACAAGGGGAGACACGGGGAGACAUGUCAGUGUCCAAACACAGGAAGUGCUCGGGUCAUACAGCAGCAUUACAACAGAAACAACAGAGAAGCCAUAAAAAAUAAGAAUAAAAAAAAAAAAGAUCUGCAACACACAGUGUAAAACA
Silurus meridionalis is the source of this 492-nucleotide long non-coding RNA. RefSeq lists it as uncharacterized. NCBI's taxonomy places the organism in Eukaryota, Metazoa, Chordata, Actinopteri, Siluriformes, Siluridae. The transcript is spliced from 2 exons. The record is from RefSeq and is a predicted model, not a curated record.